RNAcentral lists this ribosomal RNA (672 nucleotides) under Triticum aestivum (bread wheat). RNAcentral's name for it is "partial small subunit ribosomal RNA". Lineage: Eukaryota; Viridiplantae; Streptophyta; Magnoliopsida; Poales; Poaceae. The record is from RNAcentral.
AUGGAAAUGAGGAAAAAGCUAUACAUUCUAUCUUUCACUGUUGAAGGUCUUGAACAAGUGGGUGCUGAUUAUCCUAAUGAUGAUAAUGGACCUACUGAUAUAGAUGUGGAUGGCUUUAAAAAUGAUCUUGAUGUGGGUGAUACUGACAAGGACCGCUUGGAAGAUGGUGAGGAUGGUUUUGAUGAACUGGAUCUAGCUAAUAGAGCUAGCACCUCUGAAAACCCACCUGCUAGUAAAGGUAAGGAGUGCACCACCUUUCAUCCUCCUGCAUUGGUGGAAGCUUACUAUACUCCUUGCAAAAAACCUGAGGAUAAUGUGGCGAAAGAAAGUUGUGAGACUGUUGUCAUCCUCCCCUUUGCUGAACCUAUCAAACUUCUAGAUGGGCCUGAGAUGAACACACCUGAUCCUCAAGCUGAAGCUGAUUUUGCUGACACUAUUGGCAGUCUUGCAGUUUCUACCCAGAAAAUAUACUGCUCUGGCCUACUGAGAGAUUUUAAUAGCUAUGGUUCAGAUACUGCCACUGAAGCUGGAGAUACUGAUAGUGAAAUGGAGACCUUAAAUGAGCCAGUCAUGAACUGUCUGAAGAUGCUGGAGUUGAGGAACAAGGUCAGAAAUGAUACUGCUGGUAACAAUAUCCCUCCCCCCUCCCUUCAAGAAAAACAUCUCUGGUAA